This 2367-nucleotide long non-coding RNA is filed under the name Bos indicus x Bos taurus (hybrid cattle). RNAcentral describes it as "lncRNA (ENSBIXG00005000287.1)". The record is from RNAcentral. Lineage: Eukaryota; Metazoa; Chordata; Mammalia; Artiodactyla; Bovidae.
GAAAGAGAUGGCUGGAAGUCAAGAAGGAGAGGAUCUCCUUGUAAGGAUGCCAGGCAAGAGCCUUGUUGACUUAGCAGGUGACAGUCUGGGGAAGUGGGGGAGGAGGGUGCGGAUGUCACACCCCUGUGAGCUUGAUUCCCAUUGGCUCUUGAGAUCCUUAAAAGGGUCCUGCAGUCUCAGCAGCAGCAUUCUCAGACCCUCAGAGGAUUCUGUGGUUACAGUCUCUCCUCAACCCAAGGCAUGAGACACACGACUCUCCUCCUCCUGGCAGCUCUGGUCGGGACCCUGGUCUUUGCCCAAAAUGCUUCCUCUGCACUUGCCGAGGGACUCUUGACCUCUGAUGAGGGGACCCCAGCUCCAACAGAAUCUGCUUCACCCCAAAAUACAGCCUCAGCAACCCAGAAGAUUCUGACAGCACCUCCCAGCUCAGAAUUCAACCCACUGCAACUCGGGUUUGGUAAAGGUAUCUCGGUAGCCCAAGAAAUAAGAAAAAAAAUACGAGAAAGAAUUGAUGGAGGAAAGAAAUUCAUCGAAGAGGGAACUGCAGCGGCACAGACCCUAGGGAAAAAAUUGUUUCCAACAAUAUUGUUGCCUGGUUUUUGAGAAGCUGAAGAAAUGGAGUCUCUGGACUUAACACCUUAAACAUACUUGUAGCCCAUAGCAAUUAAAGUGAAAGCAUCCAACUUGCCCUUGCCAGUGCUCUGUGGGGUGGGCCCUAGGGGAGCGGGGGCAAAGCCCGACGUGACCCAAGCUCCCAGUCCGUCACAGCCUGCCUUGGCGACACAGCCUGUGACAAGCCGUUUCAUCCACCCUGAGCCACAGGCGCACGCCCUGGGCCUCGUGCAAGUCCAAAUGCCACUCCAGUUCUGGUCUGCCUCCUCGCUCUUCACUCAUGGCUCCCAGUGACAUUUGAGCGUUUCCAAAACCUAAGCCAACCUCCAGAGAAGCAGGAUUUAUCAUCCUGAAAAAUAAUCAAAGCCCAAACCACUGCUAUUACAGCUAUGUUCUGGCACUGUUAUUAAAAAACGCAUCUCCCCUGCUGUACAUUCAUACUUUGUACACUGGACCAAAGUGAAUGGCAACGGCCAGUUAGAUCCGACCAGUUAAAUAAUGAGCUGCUGCAGCAAAGGCUUGACCAAAAAGGCCAACUGAAUCCAUCACAAUUACCCACAUGCUCAUCCUGUAUCUCCUCCUUCCCUGCAUCGCAGUCCAAGGCUGCCCAUCACAGACGGACAGGAAAAGACAUGCAUGACCACAGAAGAGAGAACCAUCAGCUCUCCUCCCACCUGCCCUCUCACAAAGCCCAGUCCGUAGCACGUCUGGGAUCUAACACCCCCAGAGCCACUGAUUCUAGACUAACCUUCUCCACCCCCGUCAGGUUCCCUCCCCUUCUAUCCUGGGCGUGAGGGGCAUUCAGCCCAGACCUUGUUGCUUUUGAUUUUGUUUUGUUUUGGUUUUUUGCCACAUUGAGCCUUCAUUGCUGUAUGUUGGUUUUCUCUAGUUGCAGUGCUCAGGCUUAGUUGCUCCGAGGCAUGUGGGAUCUUCCCAGACCAGGGGUCAGACUCGUGUUCCCUGCAUUGGCAGACAGAUUCUUAUCCGCUGUACCACCAGAGACGUCCUAGACACUUGUUUUCAGUGAAUCAAGCAAUGUAUCCUCCUGUUGAGCCCUCCCACCUCCACCACAGAUCCUCCUUUUCCAAGAACACUGCCAAGGAAACAGAGGGGGACCCUCAGAAACAGGCACCCUCGGAGCACCCGUUAUGAUCAACGCUGGGUGCCCAAGGCACGUCACACUCGAGUAGCCUACGAUCCUGUACGUGGGUUGAAUUGUUCUCCAAAAGGCCUGUUGAAGUCCUAAGCCGUGGUCCCUCAGAAAGUGACCUUAUUUGGAAACUGGAUCCUUACAGAUGUAGUUAGUUAAGGUCCUACUGGAGUAAGGUGAAUCCCCAAACCAAAAUGACUAUCGUCCUGAUAAGAAGGGAGGAAUUUGGACACGGAGACACACAGAGGAAAGACAAUGUGAAGAUGUGCGGGAUAGACAGUCGAGUGGAAACAGAGGCAGGGACUGAGCGAUGCCCCAGAAGACAAGGGAGGCUGGGGAUCACCAGCAGACACAGAAGUUCCAAGAGGCCACAAGAAAGGAGUCUCCUGGGACUUCCCUGGGGGUCUGUGCUCCCAGUGCAGGAGACACAGGUUCAGUCCCUGGUCAGGGAACUAAGAUCCCCUAUGCCACGCGCCCGAAAAAGAAAAAAGAAGAAAGGAAUCUCCUGUACAGGUUUUGGAGGGAACAUGGCCCUGAUAACACCUUGAUUUCAGACUUUUAGCUUCCAGAACUGUGAGACAAUAAACUUAUGUUGUUUUAAGUCA